Non-coding RNA from Zootermopsis nevadensis, 3982 nucleotides. The record is from RefSeq and is a predicted model, not a curated record. NCBI's taxonomy places the organism in Eukaryota, Metazoa, Arthropoda, Insecta, Blattodea, Termopsidae.
GUUCAGGUAAGUUUUCUGGUGGUCAGAUAUGACAGUAACCAAUGGGAAGGCAUCAUCGCCCUCCAGUCCAACGUUAAAACUACAUCGUGCGGAGUUGCGUCACAAAGUGUAAUGCAUUCUCCAAACUAGUGCCGUUUGAUUCUCCGAUCUCUGCCGUUUUUAGUCUGUGUAAACAUAUUUAUUUACAGUAUAAGAUUAGUGUCUUUACGUGGUGUGGUGCUAGAAGUGAAAUUAAGAAAAGUUAAUUAAUUUAAAUUGUCAGACACGUAUCUUUGUCUGCGCUGCAGUUUUAAACGUAGAUCGGCCUUACAAUUUGCGAGUUAAGCAGCGAGUGACCACCAGACUUUUAUGUCCGCUCUUAUCGCCCAGGCAGCCCUAUUAUUAAAUAGUAUAAAAGGAAAGGAAGAAAACAAUAAUGUUUAACAUAAUGCAUUCGGUAAAUAAAAGUAAACGAAAAACAAACAAUUUACAUGUGAACAACGGUGGUCCGCGGAACACCUGUUGAGAAACAUUGCUGCAGUCAGUGUAACAAUAACAUGAACCGAAAUACGGGUGUGUCAAAGAAUUUCAAAAGGAAAUCUGUGAAAGUCUGUUAUAGUGGAGCAAGAAGAAAUAAGAUUCACAUACAAGCAUGCAGUUUCCCUUAUAAACAAUCCAGAUAUACGAGUGAAGCACGUGUCCUUAUGAGCUUUUACUUCCAUAUCUGUCACCCCUUAUGGAUAUGUUUUCAUUUACAAAACCGAGAGUUGCUGCUGUGAUUCGUAAUAAUGUACUUUAAGCAAUUUGUGGUACAUUACUAGUGUGAAGAGUUUAUUUAAAUGUUUAAAUUUCAUUCAAUAUAAUGUAUUUUUAUUUUAUAAUUAGCGGGAUAGCGUACGGUAGAAGGAACAGCCACUACGCAGUCGCAUGGCUAGUGCACGUGGUGAUUUGGAGUGCAGUACUGUGCUAUCCAAAGAAAACAGGUGUUGGUGAUUUCUUGAAGUUUAAUUAGUGUUUUUCAACAGAAUGGAUAAUUUUGCUUAUGCCAAACGAACACUGCUCGCGUUUAUCAAAUAUUCCAACGUAGCAGCCACAAGCGCAAUGCUUCACUCAUAUUUGGAAGCACUAUCGUAGAGAAGAGAAGAAAUAAUACAUGCUUGUCUUCUUCCCUGGUGCGUGGAGGAUGGAAAAUAUUGCCUACUUAAUGCAAGACGCAACAGAAUCAUAACGAAAUAUGUAGCUGUUUCUAAGUGACGUAACUAUGGCAUCUGGCAGACUGAAAAAUCUGAAAUAGAGAUAAUAAGUCACUUACAGCUUCAGCAUCUGGUGCUUCAAUUCUUGGGAUGUGCUGGAGACUGACAGGUGCAACUGGAGAUGGAAGUUCAACAUUUACGAGAAGAGUUAAAACAAAAAGACUUUCUUCGGCGUAGUCAGAAAUCGCAGCUUACGGUUCUAGAAGAGCAGCUUCAAGCAGCCAGAGGUAUCAUGGCGCAGCAAAAAACAGAACAAGACAAGGAAUUGAGCAGGAGGGAUGAGAGACUGCAACAGUGUGAACAAGAAUUGCUACAUAUGACAAUGUUAGACACUGCAAAUAAUGCUAGUAGAAACCAAGUGGCGGAACAGGUUAAAGUCAUUGAGUAUAUGAAAAGUGAAAAUGAGAGGAAGAACAUGGACAUUGCUGGACUUACAGAGAAAUGUAAUUCAAUGGAAGCACUGAUUAAUGGGUUAAAAUUGGCUGUUUUAAAUCAUGAAGCUGAAAAAGUACUCAGAGACGUUCGACAGAGUUUAUAUGAAGAUGAGAUAAAGUGUGUGGCUGAAUUAAAAGGGCAGCUAGACAGGACCAAGCGGAUGAUGGUAUUUAGAGAUGAAGAAAUAGAACGUCAUAAAGCUGCCUUAGUUUUGGCGGCCAGUGAAAUUGAUGCAUGCAGAAAUCGUUACUUGGAAGUUGUUGAGAGGAUUGAGGUUCUUCAAGCAGAAGAAUGUCUUCAGAAGGAAGUUAACGUAGUUAAGUAUACACAGAACUUCACCGAUGAUGUGGUUAUACAAGCAAUUAGUACAGCUCAUGAAUGUGCUGCCAAAGAUACAAUGUUGGUGAAACCCAAUAAUGGCCAUCACUGCACUGAAAGUGCCUCAUUAUUAAUCCCAUUACUUGAGAGGAUGGACAGGUAAUUGUUUUUUUUCUAUAUUUGGUUAUAUAUUACAUGAUUUAUCUGUCAUGAGAGACAGAAAAAAAUGUGGUUAUGUAAUAAAUUAAAACAACAAUUACCUGUCCAUCCUCUCAAGUAAUGGGAUUAAUAAUGAGGCACUUUCAGUGCAGUGAUGGCCAUUAUUGGGUUUCACCAACAUUGUAUCUUUGGCAGCACAUUCAUGAGCUGUACUAAUUGCUUGUAUAAUUGAAAAGUUUCGUUGUAAAGAGUAGGCCUAUUAAAUAUUAGUUUUUUAAGGUUAAGGAUGGGAUAAUGUUGAAUAUUGGGCUUUGUUUGCUGUUAGCGGUGUGGAACUUUCGAGUUAUGCUACGAGAAAGUUCCUUAACAUAAAUGUGUGGCAUUUCUUGAGUAACUCAGCAGUUAUCAGCUUUUCAAAAAAAAAAACUACAUACCAUAGAGACGGUUCGUAUAAAUUAUCACAAGUAAGCAACGAACAUCAGAGGCUUAUGUAACUUAUUUUGUACUUGUUGGCUGCGAACAUCAAGUCCAUAAAACACACAAAUUUGGCAAAGUAAGAUUAUUGCAUGUCUUGUGCGGAAUAGGGUCGUUUCACCCUUUAUAUAUACGUUGUAAGUUAUAUAUUUUUUUCUAGGGUGGGGAGUAAAAUAAAAGUCACGUAAUUAAGUUGUAAAUCAAGCAAGCGUGCACCCAGAGCCUUAUCUGUAUCACGCAUCCCUCGUCUGGAAACACAUAAAUUUAAUUCUCAAGAAUGGCCCGAGUUUUAUUGCCAGAUGCUCUUUGGCCACUACCAUAUUAUGUGUCAAGAUAUUCUGACGUCAACUUCAAUAAGACAAGAGCUGACCUCGCGUUGGUUCUGCAGCUAAAGCUGUUCCCGGGUUUCGAACUGUUUUAUUUGUAACCAAUAGGAAUGCACUACUGAGAUUUAAUGAAUUGAAUAUAUAUUUUGAGCUUUCGUUACCUCCUGAACAUUACUUCAUGUGAACUGUUUUGUACGUCAUUAUAUACAAAAUCUGUACACUAUCUUAUAAAUCACACUGGAUUACGCUGGCAAGUAUGUGAUAUAUUGGAAAUAAUUAUGACAGUGUCAGCGAAAGUUUAAUAUGCUAUAGUUAGAAUAUGUUUGCUGCUGGGACUGAGUUUUCGUGGAAAGACUGACGUCUCAGCUUUACUCCCGGAACAUUCUAGGUCCCUUAAUAGUUGCUCUGAAAUACUUCAUGGUAGCUUGUGUAUUCCGUUAGUUGUUGAUACAUUUGUAUUGCGUACUCUUGCUUCUCGUUCCAUGCUCUUGCAGAAAUAAUAACACAAUUAGAAGAGCUAGGUUUACAAAAUACGGGAAGCAAUAUUUUCUAAGUCUACGUUUUUAUAGAGACUUAGACCUCAAUUUUUAUUCCUCGAGGCUGGCACCCUUGCCCGAGAUAACUAAUUACAAGAUUUUCCCGAAUAAUAAUAUUAGAGAUUUAACUUCAAUCAUUAUAACAGCAAAGGGCUAUAUUUAAAAUAGCGUUAUUAAUAAACACCCAUAAUGUUUGGGGUUGUUUUAGUCUAUUCUGAUACUAAAAUGCCCUCAUGGAAGCUAAGAGUUUGCUCAGCUAGUCAGCAAAUUCUACGGAGACUUGAGUUUUAUUGUUAUGUUCGCCACUGGACUCCGUUAAAAUAACACGUCCAUAUCUGAAGCCCUCUCAUUUCGCAAGGUGGCAGUUUUUAUCGUGAGAUUCUCCAGCCUCCCUCCUAAUUCCGACACUCCAGGAUAUUUACUACAUUCGCACCUUCCUUCCACCUGGAUAUUUUGUCCUCCGCCCGAAACUAAAUUCCAAUCAAACAUACCUAAAACGCGA